AUAUUGGACAAUGGGCGAAAGCCUGAUCCAGCCAUGCCGCGUGUGUGAAGAAGGUCUUCGGAUUGUAAAGCACUUUAAGUUGGGAGGAAGGGUUGUAGAUUAAUACUCUGCAAUUUUGACGUUACCGACAGAAUAAGCACCGGCUAACUCUGUGCCAGCAGCCGCGGUAAUACAGAGGGUGCAAGCGUUAAUCGGAAUUACUGGGCGUAAAGCGCGCGUAGGUGGUUUGUUAAGUUGGAUGUGAAAUCCCCGGGCUCAACCUGGGAACUGCAUCCAAAACUGGCAAGCUAGAGUAUGGUAGAGGGUGGUGGAAUUUCCUGUGUAGCGGUGAAAUGCGUAGAUAUAGGAAGGAACACCAGUGGCGAAGGCGACCACCUGGACUGAUACUGACACUGAGGUGCGAAAGCGUGGGGAGCAAACAGG
RNAcentral lists this ribosomal RNA (423 nucleotides) under uncultured bacterium. Its description in RNAcentral is "bacterial SSU rRNA". It matches the Rfam family "Bacterial small subunit ribosomal RNA", at positions 361 to 776 of the family's 1533-position model. The record is from RNAcentral.